GGCAGGUGGAGGUCGUUAGCCGUGAUAGGCAGUUCACCUAGGAGAGCAAACUCUAAACAAACCUGGGGAGGUGGAGUUCGAUAGCCGUGGUAGGUAAUCUGCCUAGGAGAGCAAACUCCGAACAAUAAACCCGGCCAGGUGGAGGUCGUCAGCCGUGGUAGGCAAUCUGCCUAGGAGAGCAAACUCUAAACAAACCCGGGCUUGUGGUGCUCGUUAUACUGUCGUAGACAAUCCACGCGAUGGGAACACCAAAGAAAAGGAAAAUAAAAAGGAACACCAGAAAAAUGGAAAAUACAGAAACGAAACGUCAAGAAAAGAAACAAAAAGAUCAUUCACUUUUAGGCCCUAACAUCACCAAAAUUAUGGAUGGGUCUCUUCUGGGGAGAAAGCGGCUCAUCCAGACCAAUGAACAUCAACAAAAGGAUGAUAUGAAUAAAUGAAAUAAAAAAACAAAGAAAAACACGUCAAGGAAAGAAAAAUAUAACAAACAUCAUCCACCUUCCGGCCCUGACUAACAUCACCAAAAUUAUGGGUGGGUCUCUUCUGGGGAGAAAGCGGCUCACCCAGACCAAAGAACAUCAACAAGGGAUGAUAUAGAAAAGAACACCCCAAAAAAUUGAAAAAGAACAGAAAAAAACAUCGAAAAAGAAAAGCAACAGAAAUAAAUGAACAACAUCAAGGAAAGAGAAAUACAAAGAAACAUCAUCCACCUUUCAGUCCCAAGCAACAUCACCAAAAUUAUGGAUGGGUCUCUUCUGGGAGGAAAGCGGCUCAUCCAGACCAAGGAACAUCAACAAAAGGAUGAUAGGAAAAAAAUAACAACAAAAAG
Long non-coding RNA from Eriocheir sinensis (Chinese mitten crab), 829 nucleotides. RefSeq lists it as uncharacterized. The record is from RefSeq and is a predicted model, not a curated record. The transcript is spliced from 2 exons. NCBI's taxonomy places the organism in Eukaryota, Metazoa, Arthropoda, Malacostraca, Decapoda, Varunidae.